GGAGGCAGCAGCGGUAGAGGCGGCGGCGAGGACUGGCGGCAGCGAGGAGCUGCCUUCUAGUCUCACCUGUGGACACUUUGCCAAAGGAGUCGGGCCUGACGGUAGAAGAUGGGAAAUGGCCAAAAGAAUAAACCAUUUCCUCUUACUUACCGAAUGAAAAGCUUGCCUCAUCUUGGCGUUCAAGACUCUCUAAUAUGAUUCCACCUGUUGGGCUCUUUCUUCCAUUUGCCUCCGCAGAUAGUGUCUGCCUUCUGGAGAGCUCACCAAACACUAAGGAUGCUGAAGUUCCGAACAGUCCAUGGGGGCCUGAGGCUCCUGGGAAUCCGCCGAACCUCCACCGCCCCCGCUGCCUCCCCAAAUGUCCGGCGCCUGGAGUAUAAGCCCAUCAAGAAAGUCAUGGUGGCCAACAGAGGUGAGAUUGCCAUCCGUGUGUUCCGGGCCUGCACGGAGCUGGGCAUCCGCACCGUAGCCAUCUACUCUGAGCAGGACACGGGCCAGAUGCACCGGCAGAAAGCAGAUGAAGCCUAUCUCAUCGGCCGCGGCCUGGCCCCCGUGCAGGCCUACCUGCACAUCCCAGACAUCAUCAAGGUGGCCAAGGAGAACAACGUAGAUGCAGUGCACCCUGGCUACGGGUUCCUCUCUGAGCGAGCAGACUUCGCCCAGGCCUGCCAGGAUGCAGGGGUCCGGUUUAUUGGGCCAAGCCCAG
RNAcentral lists this small RNA (706 nucleotides) under Pongo abelii (Sumatran orangutan). Its description in RNAcentral is "processed transcript". The record is from RNAcentral. Lineage: Eukaryota; Metazoa; Chordata; Mammalia; Primates; Hominidae.